Molecule: ribosomal RNA, 391 nt
Filed under: Cardioglossa gratiosa (Ongot long-fingered frog)
Lineage: Eukaryota; Metazoa; Chordata; Amphibia; Anura; Arthroleptidae
Description: partial 16S ribosomal RNA
Rfam family: Bacterial large subunit ribosomal RNA
Source: RNAcentral
AACCGUGCGAAGGUAGCACAAUCACUUGUUCUCUAAAUAAGGACCAGUAUGAAUGGCACCACGAAGACUAUACUGUCUCCUUUCUACAAUCAGUGAAACUGAUCUCCCCGUGAAAAAGCGGGGAUUAUAUUAUAAGACGAGAAGACCCCAUGGAGCUUUAAGAAAAUAAUUAACUAUUAUACUAAUAUCAUAAAAACUCAACAGACCUAAUUAUUAACUUUCGGUUGGGGUGACCACGGAGUAAAAUAAAACCUCCACAAUGAAAGAGCUUAGCCCUAAUUUAAGAAUUACAUUUCCAAAAAUCACCAUAUUGACAUUUAUUGACCCAAACCCUUGAUCAAUGAACCAAGUUACCCUGGGGAUAACAGCGCAAUCCAUUUUUAGAGCCCCU